CGUACUUCACCUUCCUAGCUGUCUCCCUCACUCCCUCUCUGUAACCCUAACUGUCGUUGCGGCUACCGCUCUGAGUCCUUUCCGGCAACUUCUCCUGCGGUUCACUGCCAGCGUUGCUCCUACCUGUGGUGCCCCGUUCCUCUGGCCCCUCACACACACACACACUCACCUGCACUCUCUCAGUCUCCUUUGUCAACCGCUGGAGCUCAGCGCAUUCGCUUUUUCGGCCGCCGCUUCGCCUCCAUCUCGCGCCGCCGCACCUCCUCGCACCUCCCUCCUCCCUCGCCCCGCGCGCGCCGGCCUCUCUCUGCAUUCCGCACAGACCUGCCAAGGCGCUCUCCCGUGUGUGUCGUCGCCCGCCGUCCUUCCCAAGUGCUCGAUGGGUGAUCAUGACGUCGCUCUCUGCCACGUCAGCCGCUACAACCAUGCGAAUUACUGGGCCUUUGUGCCGCUGCCAACGGUCAGCGACGACACGGGAUGCGACAGUCUGCAUCAUGACAGCGCUUCCGAAAGGAUAAGGAUGGCGCCGCCGGCGUCCGCGUCGAAGGCGGGCGCGGCCGAGGAACGCCUGCACCCCUACGAAAGGCGUCUAUUGGAUCAGUACCAGAUCCACCUCCAACCCGCCAACCGCAACCCGCUGAGCCGAGCCGAUUCCGCCGCCGGUCGAGAGGAAACGGCGCAGACCCCCGCGCAGGUGCAGAUGGUGCCUGGUGUUGCUGUUGCGGACUCGACUUCGGAUCAGCACGCCUCUGUUGCAUCCAGUCAGGACCUCGUCGACCUCUUCUUCCUUGAGGGCAGCCAGGCCGUCGACGGUCUGUGCUUCUCGCCCUACCCCAUCUACGGUUGGCGCACGGCCGAGGAGCGCCGGGCUGCCGUUUGUGAGGUUUUCAAGACGUACAACGUGGUCACGCGCCUGCCCGCCUCGCCGGCUGCCCUGGCCGCCGCGCAGCGCCGCUACAGCCGCCACCGGCACUCCGCCAUCGCCCCCAUCAACAAGAGUGCGAUCGAGACGCGUGAGCAGUACUGGCGCCGCCUGUCGAACCUGUACACCCAGAAGGGUGUAAAAGAUGCUGCUUCUGCCGCCGACGCUGCGGCUACGACGGCGACGAACGGUGCCGUCCCCGCUGCCCCCGCCUACGAGCCCGAGGAUCCAUUCUACAUCAUCGAUCUCGGCCGUGUUGUGGAGCAGAUGGCGCGCUGGCGUCACGAGCUGCCGAUGGUGCGCCCUUACUUUGCCGUGAAAAGCAACCCGCAACCGGCUGUUUUGGAGGUGCUCAGCGCCCUCGGCGCCGGUUUCGACUGCGCGUCCAAGGAAGAAAUACAUAUGGUGCUAGGUCGCCAGCUCGUGGCGUCGCCGGACGACAUCAUCUUCGCCAACCCGUGCAAGCAGCUCGGCGACCUGCGUGAGGCGCAGGCGUGCGGCGUGACCUACGUGACGGUGGACAACCCGCUGGAGAUGGAAAAGAUCAGUCGCCUGAUGCCCUCCGCCCACGCGAUUAUCCGCAUCAAGACGAACGACAGCAAGGCCCAGUGCUCCUUUUCCACCAAGUUCGGUGCCCCCCUUGAAGAUGUCGAGGGCCUACUGGAGGCGGCCCGCCAGUUCAACGUCACCGUGUGCGGCGUCAGCUUUCACGUCGGCAGCGGCAACGACGACCAGUCUGCGUACGUGUCCGCGGUACGCGAUGCCUACCAAGUCUUUCAGCAGGCGGUCCAGUACGGCUUCAAGUGCACCAUCCUCGACAUCGGCGGCGGCUUCCCGGGCACGGAGGUCGUCGAGGGCAGCGGCAAUACCUCUUUCGAGGCCAUUGCCCGUACUAUUCGACCGGUGCUGGCGGAGCUCUUCGGCGGCGGUGAUGUCACCAUCAUCAGUGAGCCCGGCCGCUACUUCACGGCUGCCUCGCACGCGCUUCUCAUGAACGUAUUCGCCUCCCGCACGCUGCGACUGUCCGAUGUCGAGGUGAGUCGCCAAGCCUUCCAGUCCGUCGUGUCGAUGGACGAGCCCGAAGAGUACCAGUACUACGUCAACGACGGCCUCUACCACAGCUUCAACUGCAUCCUCUUCGACCACGCCCACCCAACGCUUCUCCUGCUAAACGACGGCGACGGCGCUGACGGGGUGGAGAGUGGCACGGAGGCGGCAGCGGUGUGCAGCGAGGAGGAGGGCGAGACGUCGCUGAGCGGUCCCCUGGCGAACGAUCCACUGUUCAUGUCCGCCUGGGACCGCCGUCGCAGCUUCGCGCGCCGCCCGCUGCGCAUCACAACCAUCUUCGGCCCCACCUGCGAUUCGAUGGACUGCAUCCUGAAGAAGCAGCCCUUCCCGGAGAUGAAGCUGGGCGACUGGCUUCUGGUGCCAGACAUGGGCAGCUACACCACCGCCGCCGCCGGCUUCUUCAACGGUUUCGCGACGCGCCGCCUUGAGUGGGUGAGCUCUGUGGACUUGUGCGCGAGGCCGAGGCCUGUGUAUACGCGUGAGGGCAACACGCUGAGGUGUGUGAGCGAGUGAGAGAGGGACAGAAAGGAGACCCGGUGCUGUAGGGUGUGCUCGUCCAUCCCACAAGAGGAUGGACGGUCUCUUCGCUCCGGCCACCUCACCACCUCCUUUAGCCGCCCCCUCCUCCGCCCCCUCUCCCCCUAUCGUCCCCUUUUCUGUGGUGGUUGCACUUGUAUUCGUGUUGGAUGCACGGCGACGCUGCUCGCUUGUGUUUGUGCGCCUGCGCCUGCGCGCGUGUUUCGCUUUACGUUCACCCCCUGUGGUCCCUUCGUGAGCCUCCCCAUCCCCGCUCUUCUUCGCCGCUGGCUUCGUUGUUGCUCUUCUCUGACGCCUACGCAACGCAAGCCCCCCCCCCUCUCCCUCACCCUUGUGCCCCACAAACUCCCACUGACAGUGCUUCCACUUACUAAGCCGGCCCAACCCCAGCGAAGCCCCCUCGCCGCCGCUGCUGCCGCCGACCCCUUCUCUCUCUUGCCUCGUGUCUCUCCUGCUCCUUUUCUCUUGUCGUGUACACUCCUCACUUACCGCGCGGCCUACUCCUCGUGGCUCCUCAGCGUGGGCAUCAGUGAGCGAGGUCGGCGCACACGCGCGUACGUGGGCGAGCCAGAGAUCAAGUCAUGCCGGGAUAUACCAUGCGUGUGUGUGUGUGUGUGCAUGUCCAUGAGGCUUGCGCGUGUAGGGGUGCGGGGCAUAUCCCGUUGUCGUUUGGCGUUGUCGCUGUCGCUGUCCCCGUUGCUGUUGCUGAAUAGCCUGGUGCUUGUUAGCCACCCCCUCCCCCUCCCUCUAUCUGGCCUUCCUCUGCUCACAACAGGGGCAAAGGCCUUUGCAUUCAUUCUCUAAUUUAUGGCCGUCUCUCCUCCCCCUCCCCUCCCCCUCCCCUCCCUUCUGCCUGCAAAACACCUCUUGUCCUUUCCCUCGGCCGCUUAGCGGAUGCUGGACUGAUGAGAAACGGAGCAGUGAGCGAAGCUCUCCCCCUCUUCCUCCCCCUCUUCCUCCCCCUCCCCUCCCCUCCCCUCCCCUCCCCUCCCCUCCCCUCCAUGUUGUUGUAACGCGCGCAGUACUACGACGUUCACCGGCACCAUAAUAAAUAACAACGUCAUGCAAAGAGCGCGCUUGAGGGAGGGAGGAAGACAGUGACGUGUCCGUGUGUGUGUGUGUGUGUCCGUGUGUGUGUGUGUGUGUGUGUGUGUGUGUGGCAGCAGAGACCACGUGCAUGCACACACAUGUUUAUCUAUCCGUAUAUCGAACCCUCUAGCUGCCUAUCUAUCUGUGUAACUAUAUGCAUAUAUCUGCCGCUUCAACGAAGGCGGCGACGCUGACACGCCCAUGCCCAUGUGCGUUUGAAUAGUAUAGAUAAGAGCAGAGGAAGAGCAGGUGGGGGGGGGGGGGGGGGGGCUUGGCGUGUGCCCGUGUGUGUGUGUGUGUGUGUCGCUCUGCCGCCCUCUUCUGGCCACCUCUCUGUGAGCUGUAUUGAAGUCCUCUCGCAUCCCCACCCCACCCCUCCCUCAUCGCGGAGGCGCACGUCUUCUUCGUUCAUUUAUGUAUGUGCGCGCGCGGCCUCGGGGUCUGACUUCCGCUCAGUGCCAAAAUCGCAGCGCAGGCGGCAAAGACGAGGAGGUGGAAGCAGGGCAGGAGGCGGCUUACGCUCGUGAUCGCUUCCGAGUCGUCGGAAUGACGUCGGUGCACUUUUUGCUGUAUCCGUUUGUGUUGUUUGCCGCACACCAAGCGCACAACCGCAGUCAGCGCCAGUGUGACGGCACCUCUCGUCCCUCCGCCCCUCGCCCUCCCUCCCUGGCCAUCCCACGAUUUCACCACCCCCACGAACGCGAAUCACGGUCGUGAAGGUGCAGGAGGUGGGGGGAGGGGUGUGGUGCACCGAAACUAAGCGUACCGAGAGAGCGAGAAAGCGGCGCAUCGUGCGCAAGCAACAGAGGAGGAUGGACAAUACGCGGAGAGCGUCAUCGGCAGAAAUGCAUGAACGACUUUGGAACUCCCUCUGUGUGCGUGUCUGUGUGUACACGGCAUGUGCGUGAUGGCGGGAGCCUGUCAUGAAGCAAAACGUAAGAGGGAGCACACAACAGUGCGCCGGUGCGCCUUCCGCCUCCCUCAAACAGCCACUUGGCCACACGCUUGCCGGCUCGAAUCCUGCGAAGGAAGGAGCGGGAAGGCCGUCAUCCGAGGGCCCCACCCCGCCCCUUCCUCAUCUAUUUUCCUGUGAGUAAAGUGCCUCUCUCACCGCGCUUGCGUCCAGCCAGCUUCGAUGGACGUCGACAGGGACGCACAACGCGGGAACCAAACGGCCAUGCGCGUCACUACGACGAAGGCG
RNAcentral lists this unclassified non-coding RNA (4817 nucleotides) under Leishmania donovani. RNAcentral describes it as "gene:LdHU3.12.0390(CDS-product:ornithine_decarbox ylase_putative)". The record is from RNAcentral. Lineage: Eukaryota; Euglenozoa; Kinetoplastea; Trypanosomatida; Trypanosomatidae.